CCUACGGGAGUGCAGCAGUGGGGAAUAUUGGACAAUGGGCGAAAGCCUGAUCCAGCCAUGCCGCGUGUGUGAAGAAGGCCUUCGGGUUGUAAAGCACUUUCAGUGGGGAAGAAAGCCUUGGGGCUAAUACCCUCGAGGAAGGACAUCACCCACAGAAGAAGCACCGGCUAACUCCGUGCCAGCAGCCGCGGUAAUACGGAGGGUGCGAGCGUUAAUCGGAAUUACUGGGCGUAAAGCGCGCGUAGGCGGUCUGAUAAGCCGGUUGUGAAAGCCCCGGGCUCAACCUGGGAACGGCAUCCGGAACUGUCAGGCUAGAGUGCAGGAGAGGAAGGUAGAAUUCCCGGUGUAGCGGUGAAAUGCGUAGAGAUCGGGAGGAAUACCAGUGGCGAAGGCGGCCUUCUGGACUGACACUGACGCUGAGGUGCGAAAGCGUGGGUAGCAAACAGGAUUAGAUACCCGGGUAGUC
This 466-nucleotide ribosomal RNA is filed under the name Vreelandella stevensii. Its description in RNAcentral is "partial 16S ribosomal RNA". It matches the Rfam family "Bacterial small subunit ribosomal RNA", at positions 338 to 795 of the family's 1533-position model. The record is from RNAcentral. Lineage: Bacteria; Pseudomonadati; Pseudomonadota; Gammaproteobacteria; Oceanospirillales; Halomonadaceae.